CGUGCCAGCAGCCGCGGUAAUACGUAGGUGGCAAGCGUUGUCCGGAAUUAUUGGGCGUAAAGGGCUCGCAGGCGGUUUCUUAAGUCUGAUGUGAAAGCCCCCGGCUCAACCGGGGAGGGUCAUUGGAAACUGGGAAACUUGAGUGCAGAAGAGGAGAGUGGAAUUCCACGUGUAGCGGUGAAAUGCGUAGAGAUGUGGAGGAACACCAGUGGCGAAGGCGACUCUCUGGUCUGUAACUGACGCUGAGGAGCGAAAGCGUGGGGAGCGAACAGGAUUAGAUACCCUGGUAGUCCACGCCGUAAACGAUGAGUGCUAAGUGUUAGGGGGUUUCCGCCCCUUAGUGCUGCAGCUAACGCAUUAAGCACUCCGCCUGGGGAGUACGGUCGCAAGACUGAAACUCAAAGGAAUUGACGGGGGCCCGCACAAGCGGUGGAGCAUGUGGUUUAAUUCGAAGCAACGCGAAGAACCUUACCAGGUCUUGACAUCCUCUGACAACCCUAGAGAUAGGGCUUUCCCUUCGGGGACAGAGUGACAGGUGGUGCAUGGUUGUCGUCAGCUCGUGUCGUGAGAUGUUGGGUUAAGUCCCGCAACGAGCGCAACCCUUGAUCUUAGUUGCCAGCAUUCAGUUGGGCACUCUAAGGUGACUGCCGGUGACAAACCGGAGGAAGGUGGGGAUGACGUCAAAUCAUCAUGCCCCUUAUGACCUGGGCUACACACGUGCUACAAUGGACAGAACAAAGGGCUGCGAGACCGCAAGGUUUAGCCAAUCCCACAAAUCUGUUCUCAGUUCGGAUCGCAGUCUGCAACUCGACUGCGUG
This 818-nucleotide ribosomal RNA is filed under the name Bacillus sp. PS-255. RNAcentral's name for it is "bacterial SSU rRNA". It matches the Rfam family "Bacterial small subunit ribosomal RNA", at positions 504 to 1322 of the family's 1533-position model. The record is from RNAcentral. Lineage: Bacteria; Bacillati; Bacillota; Bacilli; Caryophanales; Bacillaceae.